AUUGAACGCUGGCGGCAGGCCUAACACAUGCAAGUCGAGCGAGUGGCGGACGGGUGAGUAAUGUAUGGGGACUGCCCGAUAGAGGGGGAUAACCACUGGAAACGGUGGCUAAUACCGCAUACUAUCGGAUAACCCAUAUGGGAUUAGCUAGUUGGUGGGGUAAAGGCCCACCAAGGCGACGAUCACUAGCUGGUCUGAGAGGAUGAUCAGCAAAACUGGGACUGAGACACGGCCCAGACUCCUACGGAGGCAGCAGUGGGGAAUAUUGCACAAUGGGCGCAAGCCUGAUGCAGCCAGGCCGCGUGUAUGAAGAAGGCCUUAGGGUUGUAAAGUACUUUUAGCGGGGAGGCGUUACCCGCAGAAGAAGCACCGGCUAACUCCGUGCCAGCAGCCGCGGUAAUUC
RNAcentral lists this ribosomal RNA (403 nucleotides) under uncultured bacterium. RNAcentral describes it as "partial 16S ribosomal RNA". It matches the Rfam family "Bacterial small subunit ribosomal RNA", at positions 30 to 526 of the family's 1533-position model. The record is from RNAcentral.